CACCCAAUCUGACCUCUUCACGCGGUUUUAAUUUACGAAUGUACCCUUUUGUAGCAUUGAUUUGUAGUUAAUAGCUUAUGCUAUAGUUAAGAAUGUGGGGCUAGUUUCGUCAUCCUAGCUAAUUAUGUGGCUUUAUUUGAGAGGUAAGUUUUAAAAAAUAACUAAUUUGUGAAUCAACCAGCACACACGCACAUUCUCGUUCUCUUUUUCUUUGAUUCUUUAAAUUCAUCACUUGCAAAUGGUUUCCAACCCCAACAAAUGCUUCCAGUGGUCUUUGCGCCUUCCUUCUCCUUAGGUCGUCGGUCUUCACGGGAGACAUUAUUCAGGUUUUGUAUCAUCUUCCUCUGUUUAAAGCUCAUCGACUACUUUCUCUACUCCUCUGAACCCCAGGCCGGGCUUUCUAGCAUGGGACAAAACCGGCACGAGCCCGGGAGGCACGAACACGACACGACACGA
Molecule: long non-coding RNA, 456 nt
Organism: Humulus lupulus (European hop)
Lineage: Eukaryota; Viridiplantae; Streptophyta; Magnoliopsida; Rosales; Cannabaceae
Exons: 2
Source: RefSeq, a predicted model, not a curated record